Molecule: unclassified non-coding RNA, 261 nt
Filed under: Paraglomus sp.
Lineage: Eukaryota; Fungi; Glomeromycota; Glomeromycetes; Paraglomerales; Paraglomeraceae
Description: partial contains 5.8S ribosomal RNA and internal transcribed spacer 2
Rfam family: 5.8S ribosomal RNA (bases 1-65)
Source: RNAcentral
GUGAAUCAUCGAAUUUUUGAACGCAAAUUGCGCCUUUUUCGGAUGGCAUGUCUGUUUGAGGGUACCAUUCAACAAAUAAUGCGCAUUUCGUGUGCACACGUUGAUGAGCUUUCCAAAAUUAUGUAUUAUUAUUUUUGGUGGCGCAUAAUAAACAGCGCGAUGCUUUUUUUCAGUUCGAGCGUAGUAAAAUUUUUUCUUGCUGGUGUUGUGAAAAGCGGGAUCGCGCAAAUGGGUUUGUCGAUUUUACUAACCCUGCCUCAU